Long non-coding RNA from Alosa alosa (allis shad), 239 nucleotides. RefSeq lists it as uncharacterized. The transcript is spliced from 3 exons. The record is from RefSeq and is a predicted model, not a curated record. Lineage: Eukaryota; Metazoa; Chordata; Actinopteri; Clupeiformes; Clupeidae.
UCUCGUCCUCUCACCCGUCUUUCCCCUCCGACUAACUUCACAGCGCAAGAACAAGACAACAGGUUUUUUUUUUUUCACACAGAAAAUCAUCCAAACUUCUGUCCUCCGCUUCAGAUAUAGAAGGUGACAGCUCAAUGGAUUCCAGUGGAUGACAGGUGGGAUAGGAGGGGCCAUCUGACAUGUCAGGCAGGCCCUGAACAGGAAGAGGAAGCUGAGGAAGCUUCUGGAAUGUUCCUGGG